RNAcentral lists this ribosomal RNA (253 nucleotides) under uncultured bacterium. RNAcentral's name for it is "partial 16S ribosomal RNA". It matches the Rfam family "Bacterial small subunit ribosomal RNA", at positions 524 to 776 of the family's 1533-position model. The record is from RNAcentral.
UACAGAGGUCCCAAGCGUUGUUCGGAUUCACUGGGCGUAAAGGGUGCGUAGGUGGUCGGGUAAGUCUGAUGUGAAAUCCCGCAGCUCAACUGCGGAAUGGCAUUGGAUACUAGUUGGCUAGAGGGUUGGAGGGGGGACUGGAAUUCUCGGUGUAGCAGUGAAAUGCGUAGAUAUCGAGAGGAACACCAGUGGCGAAGGCGAAUCUCUGGACAGUUACUGACACUGAGGCACGAAGGCCAGGGGAGCAAACAGG